GGGCCCAUGGCGCAGUCGGUAGCGCGUCUCGAUGGCAUCGAGAAGGUCGCCGGUUCGAUCCCGGCUGGGUCCA
Molecule: transfer RNA, 73 nt
Filed under: Brachybacterium kimchii
Lineage: Bacteria; Bacillati; Actinomycetota; Actinomycetes; Micrococcales; Dermabacteraceae
Description: Brachybacterium sp. CBA3104 tRNA-Ala
Rfam family: tRNA
About the family: Transfer RNA (tRNA) molecules are approximately 80 nucleotides in length. Their secondary structure includes four short double-helical elements and three loops (D, anti-codon, and T loops). Further hydrogen bonds mediate the characteristic L-shaped molecular structure. tRNAs have two regions of fundamental functional importance: the anti-codon, which is responsible for specific mRNA codon recognition, and the 3' end, to which the tRNAs corresponding amino acid is attached (by aminoacyl-tRNA synthetases). tRNAs cope with the degeneracy of the genetic code in two manners: having more than one tRNA (with a specific anti-codon) for a particular amino acid; and 'wobble' base-pairing, i.e. permitting non-standard base-pairing at the 3rd anti-codon position.
Source: RNAcentral